GCCUUAGUAGCGGCGAGUGAAGCGGCAAAAGCUCAAAUUUGAAAUCUGGCUCUUUCAGAGUCCGAGUUGUAAUUUGAAGAAGGUAUCUUUGGGUCUGGCUCUUGUCUAUGUUUCUUGGAACAGAACGUCACAGAGGGUGAGAAUCCCGUGCGAUGAGAUGAUCCAGGCCUAUGUAAAGUUCCUUCGAAGAGUCGAGUUGUUUGGGAAUGCAGCUCUAAGUGGGUGGUAAAUUCCAUCUAAAGCUAAAUAUUGGCGAGAGACCGAUAGCGAACAAGUACAGUGAUGGAAAGAUGAAAAGAACUUUGAAAAGAGAGUGAAAAAGUACGUGAAAUUGUUGAAAGGGAAGGGCUUGAGAUCAGACUUGGUAUUUUGUAUGUUACUUCUUCGGGGGUGGCCUCUACAGUUUAUCGGGCCAGCAUCAGUUUGGGCGGUAGGAGAAUUGCGUUGGAAUGUGGCACGGCUUCGGUUGUGUGUUAUAGCCUUCGUCGAUACUGCCAGCCUAGACUGAGGACUGCGGUUUAUACCUAGGAUGUUGGCAUAAUGAUCUUAAGUCGCCCGUCUUGAC
Molecule: ribosomal RNA, 565 nt
Filed under: Candida tropicalis
Lineage: Eukaryota; Fungi; Ascomycota; Pichiomycetes; Serinales; Debaryomycetaceae
Description: partial large subunit ribosomal RNA
Rfam family: Eukaryotic large subunit ribosomal RNA
Source: RNAcentral